RNAcentral lists this ribosomal RNA (466 nucleotides) under uncultured bacterium. Its description in RNAcentral is "partial 16S ribosomal RNA". It matches the Rfam family "Bacterial small subunit ribosomal RNA", at positions 29 to 506 of the family's 1533-position model. The record is from RNAcentral.
ACGAACGCUGGCGGCGUGCUUAACACAUGCAAGUCGAACGGAAAGGCCCUGCUUUUGUGGGGUGCUCGAGUGGCGAACGGGUGAGUAACACGUGAGUAACCUGCCCUUGACUUUGGGAUAACUUCAGGAAACUGGGGCUAAUACCGGAUAGGAGCUCCUGCUGCAUGGUGGGGGUUGGAAAGUUUCGGCGGUUGGGGAUGGACUCGCGGCUUAUCAGCUUGUUGGUGGGGUAGUGGCUUACCAAGGCUUUGACGGGUAGCCGGCCUGAGAGGGUGACCGGCCACAUUGGGACUGAGAUACGGCCCAGACUCCUACGGGAGGCAGCAGUGGGGAAUAUUGCACAAUGGGCGGAAGCCUGAUGCAGCAACGCCGCGUGCGGGAUGACGGCCUUCGGGUUGCAAACCGCUUUCGCCUGUGACGAAGCGUGAGUGACGGUAAUGGGUAAAGAAGCACCGGCUAACUACGU